Molecule: non-coding RNA, 546 nt
Organism: Paramormyrops kingsleyae
Lineage: Eukaryota; Metazoa; Chordata; Actinopteri; Osteoglossiformes; Mormyridae
Source: RefSeq, a predicted model, not a curated record
ACAGUGGUCCAGAGCCCAUCUCAGAGGCCACAGAAGUCAGGGAACAACCCAGGACCCAACCGGCCCACCACAGGGCACCAGCACACACUGAAUCCUGCAGACUCCAACCCUGGUUCCAAAAAUUUGGCUCAUCCUUGCUUCUUUAAGACUGAGGUGUCAGAUGUUGUGAGAGGAGAUAAAGUGAGACUUCCAAGGUGCGUCCCAGUGGCCGCUACGAUCCGGCACCAUGCUCCCGCAUACUCACACACCCCCCGGGCUUCCAACAGCUGACAGCUGUGGAGGAUUCGCCUCUUUAGAUUUCAGAAUUACUCACGCUCCAGCUACCACAGACGCUUUGUUCCCCGGCCAGGAAAUUGCCGAGGACAACCAUGGGGCAAAGAUCUGCAAGAGUGACGGAGGUUCGACCGUGACCUCGACUAAUUAGCAUCAGAUGCCCGACCUGCGACGGCUAACCCAUGCAGAAGCGAUCGCACAAAAUCCUGGAAUAACCAAUAACACUUGGGAUGUUCAAAGCUGACCCAUGCAGAGAUCAUUUAACAGCACAGG